This is a non-coding RNA of Paramuricea clavata, 325 nucleotides long. Lineage: Eukaryota; Metazoa; Cnidaria; Anthozoa; Malacalcyonacea; Plexauridae. The record is from the annotation of a GenBank genome assembly.
GGAAACUUGUGUAAACGUAUUACAUAGCUCCCAGAAGAAUAAAAUCACCAUUUUUUCAACUAAAACGGUCUUUUUUAUAGAGUUUUUCCACUAAACUCGGACAAAUUUAAAAAAAAAAUAAUAAAAAAUUGGAGGUCGGGGACUUUUAUCAGGUCGGGCGGGGACGCUAAACAAGUAAUUUUUUUUAUGUGGCCUUAUAAGGAUAUUCACAGUAUAAUAUGCGCCUAAAAUUAAAAAAAUUCAACCUACUGCGUUCUAAAAACAAGACAUGACGCAUUUUUCUUCAAGUUAAGUGGAUUAGUAGUUGCAAUAGUUUCAAACUACA